UAUUGGUUCAUGAAGAGCAAGAGGUAAGUACAAGCCUAACUACCUCUAGCUCACAGACCUGCCCAGUGAAUAGAGCUUUGUAUUUUGAUGGGCUUGUGAUGACUUUGAAAUCAAUUGCUCAUUCAUUACAGUAAAAAAAAAAAAAAAUUGUUUUGAACACGACAGCAAAAAUAACUUUAAGCACAACUUAAUAAUAAUAGAUCACCAAUUUUAGUUAAUAAUUUUAUGCUAUACUGUUGGGUGAGGGAAGACUCAGACACUCAAUAUGAGAUCAGCAAGCUAUGUUUAUUGCAGAGAGUAUCAGACACUUAUACAGCACAUAAUAAGCUUAUGAAUAUUCUGUAAGCCAAGCGAUCUAUUGGUUAAACUAUGCCAUCAACUCUUCCUCAUUCCUUUGGGCCUACAUUCCCUAUUUCCCACGUCUCUCUGUCUGCUUGUUAUCCUACCCAGCUAGGCCCAGGCACACGCUGUCUUGCAGGUGCAAAAACUCAAACUAGCUGUGUUCGGGACUUUCCCAGCUCCUGGUCGGCUAACGAGCGAAUGUCUGCGUGACCUCUGUUAUGUAGCCAUUUCUCCACACUAUACUAUCAAAGUUUAAAGGGAUCAGUGAAUUUUAACUCUGGAGUCCUCUAUGCUAAGGAUGGUCAGCUUACAGAUGAUUAAAUGUUCAGUAAUGUAUUUGCUGGAGCUGUGCUUACCCAAGCUUUGGGUAAAACAAGCUUUGGGUUCCUUCUGUCUCACUGGGAGUUGCCCAGUUCAGUUGCAUCUGGUGAAAUUCACCCUGAGACCUUACAGAACUAGCUCAAACUACGUGAGAGCCAUUUGCAGUUCUCUCCAGACACCUGGAGAAUGGGUGACGCUUCUGAGGAUCUGGCAAGUGUAGUUAUCCAAAAAGAUACAAAUACUGGAAAAAUCAUAAGAAGCAAAAUAUGGCUGCAGAGAAAACAAACUGGAGAAAACAAAAGGUGAUAUUGUUAUCCUUAUCCUGUAUUAGAAACAUCCACUGUGCUUUGAUUCUGGUA
Melospiza georgiana is the source of this 1022-nucleotide long non-coding RNA. RefSeq lists it as uncharacterized. The transcript has 3 exons. NCBI's taxonomy places the organism in Eukaryota, Metazoa, Chordata, Aves, Passeriformes, Passerellidae. The record is from RefSeq and is a predicted model, not a curated record.